CAUCUCAAAUCUCAGCUGAUACCUACUUGUACUCAUCACCUCCUCCUCCCAAGAAGCCCUAUUAUUAUCACUCUCCUCCACCACCUUCACCUCCUCCACCUAAGCCAUACUACUAUCAUUCACCACCACCACCUUCACCUCCUCCACCCAAGCCAUACUACUAUCACUCACCACCACCACCUUCACCUCCUCCACCUAAACCAUACUACUAUCACUCACCACCACCACCUUCACCUCCUCCACCUAAACCAUACUACUAUCACUCACCACCACCACCUUCACCUCCUCCACCUAAACCAUACUACUAUCACUCACCACCACCACCUUCACCUCCUCCACCUAAGUCAUAUUACUAUCACUCACCACCACCACCACCCAAAAAGAAGCCAUACUACUACCAUUCUCCCCCACCACCUUCACCACCUCCUCCUAAGCCAUACUACUAUCACUCUCCCCCACCGCCUUCACCUCCUCCACCUACGCCAUACUACUAUCAUUCUCCCCCACCACCCUCACCACCUCCACCUAAGCCAUACUACUACCAUUCACCACCACCCCCACCGAAGAAGAAGCCUUACUACUACCACUCUCCACCACCACCUUCACCUCCUCCUCCAAAGAAGCCAUACUACUACCACUCCCCACCUCCUCCCAAGAAGCCCUACAAAUAUUCAUCUCCCCCACCUCCAGUGCACCCUUACCCUCAUCCUCACCCCCAUCCCCAUCCACACCCCCACCCUCACCCUCCCUACGUUUACAAAUCUCCUCCCCCACCCCCUAAGAAGCCAUACAAGUACCCAUCCCCACCACCUCCAGUCCACGUUUACCCUCACCCUCACCCGCAUCCACACCCUCACCCUCAACCUCACCCCCAUCCACAACCCCACCCUCCCUACAUUUAUCAGUCUCCUCCACCACCCCCUAAGAAGCCUUACAAGUACCCAUCGCCUCCACCUCCCGUCCACCCAUACCCCCAUCCCCAC
This 983-nucleotide long non-coding RNA is filed under the name Phaseolus vulgaris (common bean). Its description in RNAcentral is "long non-coding RNA (PVUL_LNC002044)". The record is from RNAcentral. Lineage: Eukaryota; Viridiplantae; Streptophyta; Magnoliopsida; Fabales; Fabaceae.